Molecule: unclassified non-coding RNA, 390 nt
Filed under: soil metagenome
Description: partial contains 5.8S ribosomal RNA, internal transcribed spacer 2, and large subunit ribosomal RNA
Rfam family: 5.8S ribosomal RNA (bases 1-122)
Source: RNAcentral
GAUGAAGAACGUAGCGAAAUGCGAUACUUGGUGUGAAUUGCAGAAUCCCGUGAACCAUCGAGUCUUUGAACGCAAGUUGCGCCCGAAGCCAUUAGGCCGAGGGCACGCCUGCCUGGGCGUCACACGUCGUUGCCCCCCCAUCUACUCCUUCGGGAUUGCGGGGGGCGGAUGAUGGCCUCCCGUGCGCCUCGCCGCGCGGUUGGCAUAAAUGCCAAGUCCUCGGCGACGCACGCCACGACAAUCGGUGGUUGCGAAACCUCGGUUGCCCGUCGUGUGCGGUCGUCGCGCAUCGAGGGCUCGAAAAAAUUGCCGGGUUCCGGCUCGGCUUUCAACGCGACCCCAGGUCAGGCGGGGUUACCCGCUGAAUUUAAGCAUAUCAAUAGCGGAGGA